GACGAACGCUGGCGGCGUGCUUAACACAUGCAAGUCGAACGGAAAGGCCCUGCUUUUGUGGGGUGCUCGAGUGGCGAACGGGGGAGUAACACGUGAGUAACCUGCCCUUGAAUUUGGGAUAACUUCAGGAAACUGGGGCGAAUACAGGAUAGGAGCUCCUGCUGCAUGGUGGGGGGUGGAAAGUUUCGGCGGUUGGGGAUGGGCUCGCGGCUUAUCAGCUUGUUGGUGGGGUAGUGGCUUACCAAGGCUUUGACGGGUAGCCGGCCUGGGAGGGUGACCCGCCCCAGUGGCACUCGGGUAGGGCCCAGACUCCUACGGGAGGCAUCGGUGGGAGAUAUUGCGCGAUGGGCGGAAGCCGGAUGCAGCAACGCCGCGUUCGAGAUGACUGCCUUCGGGUUGUAACCCGCUUUCGCCUGUGACGAAGCGUGCGUGACGGUAAUGAGUAAAGAAGCACCGGCUAACUACGUG
RNAcentral lists this ribosomal RNA (468 nucleotides) under uncultured bacterium. Its description in RNAcentral is "partial 16S ribosomal RNA". It matches the Rfam family "Bacterial small subunit ribosomal RNA", at positions 28 to 507 of the family's 1533-position model. The record is from RNAcentral.